Long non-coding RNA from Bos indicus x Bos taurus (hybrid cattle), 551 nucleotides. NCBI's taxonomy places the organism in Eukaryota, Metazoa, Chordata, Mammalia, Artiodactyla, Bovidae. The record is from Ensembl.
AUGGACUGGACAGAGGUACUGGCCCAGAAGCCCACAGUUCUAGAAGAGGAAUCUAAUUGGCUCAGCUUGAGUUAUCUGUCUAUUCUUCAUCCUCUACGCUGUCGCCACCUGGGCCAACUUCUUCUCCAGUGUUGCAGAUGGGCAAGCAUAGCACACCAGGUCUGCAAGCCUUUCAUUUUAAAGGAUUACACAGGCCCUUCCCAUGAAGCAUCAAGAGAAAAACUGCACACGAGACACAGCAUGGGAUAUGUAAGUGUGGCAUUUGUUUCAAAUUGUCUGGAAGUUGAAAGUCUCCUAAAAUGAAGACCUGGAGGAUGACAGAGGGUGAGAUGUUUGGAUGGCAACACCAGCUCAAUGGACAUGAGUUUGAGCAAACUCCAGGGGUUGGUGAUGGACGGACAGGGAAGCCUAGCAUUCUGCAGUCCGUGGGGUUGCAAAGAGUUGGACACAACUGAGCCACUGAACUAAACUGAAUUGAAGGAACUUCAGCUACUUUACUAUCUAUAAACAUUUCACUGUGCAUAAUAAAAUACAGUAUUCUAAGAGUUCCA